RNAcentral lists this ribosomal RNA (409 nucleotides) under Fusobacteriota bacterium. Its description in RNAcentral is "Fusobacteria bacterium partial 16S ribosomal RNA". It matches the Rfam family "Bacterial small subunit ribosomal RNA", at positions 355 to 776 of the family's 1533-position model. Lineage: Bacteria; Fusobacteriati; Fusobacteriota. The record is from RNAcentral.
UGGGGAAUAUUGCACAAUGGAGGGAACUCUGAUGCAGCAACGCCGCGUGCGGGAUGACGGCUUUCGGGUUGUAAACCGCUUUCAGCCACGACGAAGCUUUUGUGACGGUAGUGGUAGAAGAAGCACCGGCUAACUACGAGCCAGCAGCCGCGGUGAUACGUAGGGUGCGAGCGUUGUCCGGAAUUAUUGGGCGUAAAGAGCUUGUAGGCGGUUUGUCGCGUCGAUAGUGUAAACACGCAGCGUAACUGUGUGCCUGCUGUCGAUACGGGGUGACUAGAGGAGGGUAGGGUAGAAUGGAAUUCCCGGUGGAGCGGUGGAAUGCGCAGAUAUCGGGAGGAACACCAGUAGCGAAGGCGGUUCUCUGGACCUUUCCUGACGCUGAGAAGCGAAAGCGUGUGUAGCAAACAGG